RNAcentral lists this ribosomal RNA (853 nucleotides) under uncultured Actinomycetales bacterium. Its description in RNAcentral is "bacterial SSU rRNA". It matches the Rfam family "Bacterial small subunit ribosomal RNA", at positions 83 to 950 of the family's 1533-position model. Lineage: Bacteria; Bacillati; Actinomycetota; Actinomycetes; Actinomycetales. The record is from RNAcentral.
GGUAGUGAAUUAGCGGCGAACCGUUGAGGAACACGUGAGGAAUCUGCCUUCAACACUGGGAUAACUCCGGGAAACCGGGGCUAAUACCGGAUACGAGCCUUGAUCGCAUGAUCGAGGCUGGAAAGUUUUUCGGUUGAAGAUGACCUCGCGGCCUAUCAGCUUGUUGGUGAGGUAAUGGCUCACCAAGGCGACGACGGGUAGCCGGCCUGAGAGGGCGACCGGCCACACUGGGACUGAGACACGGCCCAGACUCCUACGGGAGGCAGCAGUGGGGAAUAUUGGGCAAUGGAGGAAACUCUGACCCAGCGACGCCGCGUGCGGGAUGAAGGCCUUCGGGUUGUAAACCGCUUUCAGUAGGGAAGAAGCGAAAGUGACGGUACCUACAGAAGAAGCACCGGCUAACUAUGUGCCAGCAGCCGCGGUAAUACAUAGGGUGCAAGCGUUGUCCGGAAUUAUUGGGCGUAAAGAGCUCGUAGGUGGUUUGAUACGUCGGGUGUGAAAUUCAGGGGCUCAACCCCUGACCUGCGUUCGAUACGGUCAAGCUAGAGUUUGGUAGGGGAGACUGGAAUUCCUGGUGUAGCGGUGGAAUGCGCAGAUAUCAGGAGGAACACCGAUGGCGAAGGCAGGUCUCUGGGCCAAUACUGACACUGAGGAGCGAAAGCGUGGGGAGCGAACAGGAUUAGAUACCCUGGUAGUCCACGCCGUAAACGGUGGGCGCUAGUUGUGCGAACCUUCCACGGUUUGUGCGACGCAGCUAACGCAUUAAGCGCCCCGCCUGGGGAGUACGAUCGCAAGAUUAAAACUCAAAGGAAUUGACGGGGCCCCGCACAAGCAGCGGAGCAUGCGGCUUAAU